AUAUGAUGUAGUAUUAUCGCAAUUUCAGUUUGUGAACCAUAUAGUAAUAAAAAUAAAACAAAAUCUUAGAUGUUUUGCGUUCAAAUCACUUUUAUGAUUUUAUUUUAAUACAGAUAAUUUGAAUUUAAAUUUAUCCAAGUAAUGGCUGUUUCUACAACUCUACAGAAAGCAAUAGACUUAGUUACAAAAGCAACUGAAGAAGAUCGCAACAAAAACUAUGAAGAAGCAUUAAAACUAUAUGAGAGCGGGAUUGAAUAUUUUUUACAUGCUCUUAAAUAUGAAACUCAAGGGGAUAAAGCUAAAGAUAGUAUACGUAGUCGCUGUACUCAAUAUUUAGAAAGAGCAGAAAAAUUAAAAGAUUAUUUAAAAAAUGGAAAAAAUAAAAAGAAACCUGUAAAAGCUGGAGAAUCUAAUUCCAAAAAUGAUGAUAAGAAAAAUGAUAGUGAUGAUGACGGCGAUGACCCUGAAAAGAAAAAAUUACAAAACAAGUUGGAAGGUGCUAUAGUUGUUGAAAAACCACAUGUUAAAUGGUCUGAUAUUGCUGGUUUGGAAGGUGCAAAAGAAGCGCUAAAAGAAGCUGUAAUUCUACCAAUAAAAUUUCCACAUCUUUUUACCGGAAAAAGAAUUCCUUGGAAAGGAAUAUUACUGUUUGGGCCCCCUGGAACUGGUAAAUCAUAUUUAGCAAAAGCUGUAGCAACGGAAGCAAAUAAUUCUACAUUUUUUUCUGUGUCAUCAUCUGAUCUUGUUUCCAAGUGGUUGGGAGAAUCAGAAAAACUUGUCAAGAAUCUUUUUGAAUUAGCUCGACAACAUAAACCUAGUAUUAUAUUUAUUGAUGAGGUUGACUCACUUUGUUCUUCACGAUCAGACAAUGAAUCAGAAUCAGCUCGACGUAUUAAGACCGAAUUCCUUGUACAAAUGCAAGGAGUUGGUACUGAUAAUGAAGGUAUUCUUGUAUUGGGAGCCACAAACAUUCCAUGGGUCUUAGAUGCAGCUAUACGUAGACGUUUUGAGAAACGUAUUUAUAUUCCUCUACCAGAAGAACAUGCUCGGUUGGAUAUGCUAAAACAAAAUUUAGGUAACACAUACAAUACAUUAACAGAGAUGGAUCUUAAACAAUUAGCAGCCAAAACUGAAGGAUAUUCAGGGGCAGAUAUUAGUAUAGUUGUAAGAGAUGCCUUGAUGCAACCAGUACGUAAAGUUCAAACAGCUACACAUUUCAAAAAAGUCACUGGUCCUAGUCGAGCUGAUCCUAAAGUCAUUGUUAAUGACCUACUUACUCCUUGUUCGCCAGGAAGUCCUGGUGCCAUAGAAAUGUCAUUCAUGGAAGUUCCUAGUGACAAACUUCUUGAGCCAGCAGUAUCUAUGAGUGAUAUGCUUAGAUCUUUAGCUACAUCUAAACCUACAGUAAAUGAUGAAGAUAUGAAAAAACUUGAUAAGUUCACACUAGAUUUUGGGCAAGAAGGUUGAUUAUAAGUUCUAACUUAUAAAUGUGCAGGUUUUAUAUAAUUGAUGUUUAAAGGUUAAUAUUACUGUUAUAUGUAAUAUAUAUAUAUAAAUAUGAAGUUGAGUAAAAGUUCUAUUAAUUAAAUACACACAAUUAAAAAUAAAAUGGACAACAAAUUCAAAGAACACUAGAAUUACAUAAGCAUAAAUUAUUAUUGUUAUUUGUUACUUUUUUAAAUUAUUUAAAUAUUAUGCAAAUGUAAUAACAAGGACUAAGACAUUACUUAAAAAAUGUAUUUUUUUUAUAAUCGUCAGACUAGAAUUCUUAAUAGCUAAUAACUAAAAUACAUUAAAUAUAUUUUUGAGAGAUUGAAAAACUUAUUUUCUUUUUUACUUAUAAAUUAUGCUAAAAUACAUAUUUUUGUAUGAUAGCAUAGGUAAUUAAUAAAUAAAUUUAAAAAUAUUUAUUUUUGUUAGUUUGUAAGGGAAUUAAAAAAAUAAUAUUUACUAAUUAUUUAUAACAAACAAAUGUAUUUAAAUCUAGGAAAAUAGUAAUAUAAUCAAUAUAAAACAUUCAAUAUUAA
RNA transcript from Daktulosphaira vitifoliae (grape phylloxera), 2027 nucleotides. It is a transcript of the gene named vacuolar protein sorting-associated protein 4, with no coding region annotated. The record is from RefSeq and is a predicted model, not a curated record. NCBI's taxonomy places the organism in Eukaryota, Metazoa, Arthropoda, Insecta, Hemiptera, Phylloxeridae. The transcript has 9 exons.